AUUGAACGCUGGCGGCAUGCUUUACACAUGCAAGUCGAACGGCAGCGAGGAGAAGCUUGCUUCUCUGUCGGCGAGUGGCGAACGGGUGAGUAUAGCAUCGGAACGUGCCAAGUAGUGGGGGAUAACCAAACGAAAGUUUGGCUAAUACCGCGUAAGCUCUAAGGAGGAAAGUAGGGGACCUAAAUAAGGCCUUACGCUAUUUGAUCGGCCGAUGUCGGAUUAGCUAGUUGGUGGGGUAAUGGCUCACCAAGGCAAUGAUCCGUAGCGGGUCUGAGAGGACGAUCCGCCACACUGGGACUGAGACACGGCCCAGACUCCUACGGGAGGCAGCAGUGGGGAAUUUUGGACAAUGGGGGAAACCCUGAUCCAGCCAUGCCGCGUGUAUGAAGAAGGCCUUAGGGUUGUAAAGUACUUUUGUUAGGGAAGAAAAGCUAGUUUUUAAUAAAAAUUAGUGAUGACGGUACCUAAAGAAUAAGCACCGGCUGACUACGUG
RNAcentral lists this ribosomal RNA (493 nucleotides) under uncultured bacterium. RNAcentral's name for it is "partial 16S ribosomal RNA". It matches the Rfam family "Bacterial small subunit ribosomal RNA", at positions 30 to 507 of the family's 1533-position model. The record is from RNAcentral.